This 648-nucleotide ribosomal RNA is filed under the name uncultured Lachnospiraceae bacterium. Its description in RNAcentral is "bacterial SSU rRNA". It matches the Rfam family "Bacterial small subunit ribosomal RNA", at positions 66 to 735 of the family's 1533-position model. The record is from RNAcentral. Lineage: Bacteria; Bacillati; Bacillota; Clostridia; Lachnospirales; Lachnospiraceae.
ACUUCGGUGGAUUUGAUCUAUUUCUAGUGGCGGACGGGUGAGUAACGCGUGGGUAACCUGCCUUAUACAGGGGGAUAACAGUCAGAAAUGGCUGCUAAUACCGCAUAAGCGCACAGAGCUGCAUGGCUCAGUGUGAAAAACUCCGGUGGUAUAAGAUGGACCCGCGUUGGAUUAGCUUGUUGGUGGGGUAACGGCCCACCAAGGCGACGAUCCAUAGCCGGCCUGAGAGGGUGAACGGCCACAUUGGGACUGAGACACGGCCCAGACUCCUACGGGAGGCAGCAGUGGGGAAUAUUGCACAAUGGGGGAAACCCUGAUGCAGCGACGCCGCGUGAAGGAAGAAGUAUCUCGGUAUGUAAACUUCUAUCAGCAGGGAAGAUAGUGACGGUACCUGACUAAGAAGCCCCGGCUAACUACGUGCCAGCAGCCGCGGUAAUACGUAGGGGGCAAGCGUUAUCCGGAUUUACUGGGUGUAAAGGGAGCGUAGACGGUGUGGCAAGUCUGAUGUGAAAGGCAUGGGCUCAACCUGUGGACUGCAUUGGAAACUGUCAUACUUGAGUGCCGGAGGGGUAAGCGGAAUUCCUAGUGUAGCGGUGAAAUGCGUAGAUAUUAGGAGGAACACCAGUGGCGAAGGCGGCUUACUGGACG